AGUAACACGUAGGUGACCUGCCCUGAAGUGGGGGAUAACAACUCGAAAGAGUUGCUAAUACCGCAUGUGACCACCGAUCCAUUUCGGUGCUCAAAGUCGCAAGACGCUUUUGGAGGGGCCUGCGGCGGAUUAGCUAGUUGGUGGGGUAACGGCCUACCAAGGCGUCGAUCCGUAGCUGGUCUGAGAGGAUGACCAGCCAGACUGGGACUGAGACACGGCCCAG
Molecule: ribosomal RNA, 223 nt
Filed under: uncultured bacterium
Lineage: Bacteria
Description: partial 16S ribosomal RNA
Rfam family: Bacterial small subunit ribosomal RNA
Source: RNAcentral